UUCCGGUUGAUCCUGCCGGACUCCACUGCUAUCGGGGUAAGGCUAAGCCAUGCAAGUCGAAGGCCUCCGGCUCCGGGGGCCUGGCGUACGGCCGAGUAACGCGUGGCCAACCUGCCCUGCGGAGGGGGAUAACCCCGGGAAACUGGGGAUAAACCCCCAUAGGUGACCGGGUCUGGAAGGACCGGUCGCCGAAAGUCCCGGUCGGGGAUGCUCCGGCCGGGAGCCGCAGGAUGGGGCUGCGUCCUAUCAGGUAGUUGGUGGGGUAACGGCCCACCAAGCCUGUGACGGGUAGGGGCCCUGAGAGGGGGAGCCCCCAGAUGGACUCUGAGACAAGAGUCCAGGCCCUACGGGGCGCAGCAGGCGCGAAAACUCCGCAAUGGGCGAAAGCCCGACGGGGUUACCCCGAGUGCCACCCUCGUGGUGGCUUUUGCCCGCUCUAAAAAGGCGGGCGAAUAAGGGGAGGGCAAGUCGGGUGUCAGCCGCCGCGGUAAUACCCGCUCCCCGAGUGGUGGAGGCUAUUACUGGGCCUAAAGCGCCCGUAGCCGG
RNAcentral lists this ribosomal RNA (546 nucleotides) under uncultured prokaryote. Its description in RNAcentral is "bacterial SSU rRNA". It matches the Rfam family "Archaeal small subunit ribosomal RNA", at positions 1 to 528 of the family's 1478-position model. The record is from RNAcentral.